Parasteatoda tepidariorum (common house spider) is the source of this 183-nucleotide non-coding RNA. Lineage: Eukaryota; Metazoa; Arthropoda; Arachnida; Araneae; Theridiidae. The record is from RefSeq and is a predicted model, not a curated record.
UCUAUUUCAAGUUUAAUAUUUUUCUGAUGAAUAUGUCUAUUGAUAUUUUGAAUUAAAACAACACUUAGUUAACAGCUACAUUUCUGAAGAAGACGCUGUUUUACUUUUUGGCUUCUACUGUGUUGUUCUUACUGUGUCUGAGAAACGAGGCAUCUUCUCUACCCUCGCCAUCUUGGAUUUUAG